AUUUUUUUUUAUUGCUCAAUACUGUUCCACUGUAUCAAUAUAACACAGGUCAUUUAUUCAGUUCUCUUGUUAAGUGACAUUUGGGUUGUCUCCAGUUUGGGGCUCUUUUGAAUAAAGCGGCUGUGAGGUUCAUGUAUGCCUUUUGUGUGGACAGAUAUUUUCACUGGUCUCAGGCAAAUGGCUAGGAGAAUUACUAGAUCAUAUGGGAAGUGUAUAUUUAACUUUAUAAGAAACUGCCAAACUUUUCCAAUGUAAUUGUGCCAUUUUACACUCCCACCCGCAGCUUAAGAGAGCUCCAGUUGCUCCAUGUCCUCACCAACACUUUGUAUCAUCAAUCUUGUUAAUUUUAUCCAUUCUAGUCUGUGUGUAGUGGUGUCUUAUUAUGGUUUUAAUUUGUACUCCCCUGCUGACUAAAGAGAUUGAGCAUCUUUUCAUCAUUCUUAUUUGCCAUUUUUAUGUCUUUUUCUGUAAAGUAUUUGUUCGAUUAUUUUACUGGGUGUGAUGGUUAAUACCGAGUGUCAACUUGACUGGAUUGAAGGAUGCAAAGUCUUAUUCCUGGGUGUGUCUCUGAGGUUGUUGACAAAGGAGAUUGACAUUUGAGUCAGUGGACUGGGAGAGACAGACCCACCUUCAAUCUGGGAGCGCACCAUCUAAUUGGCUGCCAGUGCGGCUAGGAUAAAGCAGGCAGAAGGUGGAAGGAGCGGAGCCUACCUGCUGAGUCUUCCGGCCUUCAUCUUUCUCCCGUGCUGGAUGCUUCCUGCCCUUGAACAUUGGACUCCAAGUUUUCAGCUUUUGGACUCUUGGAUUUACCCCAGUGAUUUGCCAGGGGCUCUUGGGCCUUCAGCCACAACCUGAAGGCUGCACUGUGGGCUUCCCUACUUUUGAGGUUUUGGGGCUCGGACUGGCUUCGUUGCUUCUCAGCUUAUAGGUGGCCUAUUGUGGGGCUUCACCUUGUGAUCGUGUGAGUCAAUACUCCUUAGUAAACUCCCCUUUGUAUGUACAUCUAUCCUAUUAGUUCUGUCCCUCUAGAGAAUCCUGAAAAUACAGAUUUUGUUAUUUUGAACCGAGAAUGAGGUAGUUCUAGAGAAACAGAUUUUUUUUUUUUUUGAGAUGGAGUUUUGCUCUUGUUACCCAGGCUGGAGUGCAAUGGCACGAUCUCGGCUCACCGCAACCUCUGCCUCCUGGGUUCAGGCAAUUCUUCCUGCCUCAGCCUCCUGAGUAGCUGGGAUUACAGGCACGCGCCACCAUGCCCAGCUAAUUUUUUGUAUUUUUAGUAGAGACAGGGUUUCACCAUGUUGCCCAGGAUGGUCUCGAUCUCUUGACCUUGUGAUCCACCCACCUCGGUCUCCCAAAGUGCUGGGAUUACAGGCUUGAGCCACCUAGCCUGGCCUUUUUUUUUUUUUUUUUAAAUUUAAAAUGGAGUUUUGCUCUUGCUCACUGCAACCUCCACCUCCCAGGUUCAGGAAAUUCUGCCUUGGCCUCCCGAGUAGCUGGGAUUACAGGCAUAUGACACCAUGCCCGGCUAACUUUAGUAUUUUUAGUAGAGACAGGGUUUCAUUCUUUUUAUUUUUUUAUUUGAGACUGAGUCUCCCUCUGUCACCAGGCUGGAGUGCAGUGGCACAAUCUUGGCUCACUGCAGUCUCCACCUCCCAGGUUCAAGGGAUUCUUCUGCCUCAGCCUCCCAGGUAGCGGGGACUACAGGCAUGUGCCACCAUGCCCGGCUAAUUUUUUUAUUUUAGUAGAGAUGGGGUUUCACCAUGUUGGCUGGGCUGGUCUCGAUCUCUUGACCUCAUGAUCCAUGCACCUUGGCCUCCCAAAGUGCAGGGAUUACAGGCAUGAACCACCGCACCUAACCAAAACAGUGUUUCUCCGUGUUGGUCAGACUGGUCUUGAAUUCCUGACCUCAGGUGAUCAGCCCACCUUGGCCUCCCAAAAUGCUGGGAGUACAAGCGUGAGCCACUGUGCUUCUAAUAGUAUGGAGAACACUGAUAGUCCUUGGCAUGAACUGUUUAGAGAGUUAUGCAAAAUAAAUGCUUUUUAUACUCCUGAUUUACCACUCAUGAGAGACAAGGAGUUUAGUGACUCUCUACCUAAUACCUUUGACCAAAGAAUAUAAUAAAGUUGGUUGAUUGCUUCUAAGUUUGCUGAACAAAGUGACGAAAGAGAAGGAUGAGUGCAGCAAUUCUAACUCCUGUCCAGAAGCACAUAUUGAGCCUCAAGUCUUCUAAAAUUGCCCUGAGAGUCUUAUCUCCUAUAGACGAAGGGCUGAAAUUGUGGAAAACCAGACACAGGCUCUUAUCAUGAGAGUGGCUGACCUGCAAGGAAAGGUAUGUACACAGCCUUGCCAGGUGUUUACUGUUAAAGUGAGGGAAAGGAAUGGGACCCUGAAACUGAAUGGGGACAUGUUGGAGGACCCUGAUGAAGCUGGGAACACUGAGCUUGCAAACUCUGAUGAGCCUUUUUUGCCAGAGGAAACAGCCUCCCACCCUCAGUGGUGGCAACAUUCCUUCCCCACCCAUGCUGCCUUCAGGCUUUGUCUGAGGAAAUUAACCCUGCACUGCCUGAGGCAACAGUGACGGCCUCCACUGAGCCAGUUGCCAGGCAAGACAAUGCUGAUUCUCCUCAGGAGCCACCCCCAACACUCCUGUUUGCUUCUAGAUCUAUAACUAGACUCAAGUCCCGGCAGGCCCCCAGAGGUGAGGUUCAGAGUGUGACCCCUAAGGGGGUGUGCUAUGCUCCAAAAGAACUGUAUGAGUUUUCUAACUUAUAUAAGCAAAAAUCUGGAGAAUAGGGAUGGGAAUGGAUGUUAAGGGUGUGGGAUAAUGGUGGAAGAACCAUAAAAUUGGAUCAGGCUGAAUUAAUGAUUUGAACCCACUAAGCAAGGAUCCUGCAUUUAAUGUUGCAGCUUGGGGAGCUAAAAAAUGUUCUGUGAUUUGCUUGUUAGCUGAAAUAUGGAUCAAAAGAUGGCCCACUGUGAGUGGUCUGGAAAUGCCUCAUCUCUCUUGGUUAAAUGUGGAGGAAGGGAUCCAAAGGCUUAGGGAGACUGGGAUGGUGGAGUGGAUUAGUCACUUUAGACCAGCUUAUCCCCACUGGAGGGUCCAGAAGACAUACCCUUCACCAGUACUUAGUGAAAUAGAUUUGAGAGGGGAGCACCUGAAUCCUUGAAGAGCUCUGUGAUUGCUCUUCUCUGUAUCCAGAUCUUAAAGUGGGAAUUGCAGUCACUCAAUUAGAAAAUUUAAACACAAUGGGAAUAAUUGGAUCCUGAGGUGUCUCAACUGUCAGGAGCUAGGUCGGUAGCUACCAUAAUGGACGGCAGAGGCAAAGCAGCAAUCAGAAUAGUCUGAUUUGUGUAGAGCUCUGGCAUUGGCUAAUCAGUGUUCCUAGAAGAGAAGUUGAUAGGAAGCCUACUGUAUUCUUACUUAAUUUGGAUAAGCAGAAAAGUCCCAGGUCAAGUGGACAAAAGACUAAUUUGAAUUGUAAGAACAGACAAUCACGGCCCCUCAAUCAAUUUCCAGACUUGAACCAGUUUAUAGACCCAGAACCCUGUGAAUGAAGGGGACCCCAAGUCCCUUGAGGAAGAACCCCACUACACUACCAACAAUUUAUACUGUUAAUCUUUGUUCCAUCUGUUCCCAGACAGACCUCUUUUUACCAGGGUAACUGUGCACUGGGGAAAGGGGAAUUAUCAGACUUAUGGGGGACUACUAGACACUAGUUCUGAGCCGAUGUUGAUUUCUGGAGAUCCAAAAUGUCAUUGUGGUCCUUCAAUUAAAGUAGGGGCUUAUGGAGAUCAGGUAAUUAAUGGAGUUUUAGCUCAGGUCUGACUUUCAGUGGGUCCAGUGGGUCCCUGGACUCAUCCUGUGGUCAUUUCCCCAGUGCCAGAUUGCAUGAUUGGCAGAGACAUACUUAGCAGCUGGCAGAACCCCACAUUAGCUCCCUGACUGGUAGGGUAAGGGCUACUAUGGUGGGAAAGGCCAAAUGGAAGCCAUUUGCACUGCCUCUACCUAGAAAAAUCGUAACUCAAAAACAAUACCACGUCGCUGGAGGGACUGCAGAGAUUAGUGCCACCAUCAAGGGCUUGAAAGAUGCAGGGGUGAUGAUUCCCACCACAUCCCCAUUUGGCCUGCGCAGAAGACAGAUGGAUGUUGGAGAAUGACAAUGAAUUAUCCUAAGCGUAACCAAGUGGCAACUCCAGUUGCAGCUGCUGUACCAGAUGUGGUUUUAUUGCUUGAACGAAUUAACACCUCCUGGUACCUGGUGUGCAGCCACUGACUUGGCAAAUGCCUUUGUCUCCAUUCUUGCCCGUAAGGCUUACCUGAAGCAAUUUGCCUUCAGCUGGCAAGGCCAGCAAUAUACCUUCACUGUCCCACCUCAGGGGUAUAUCACCUCUCUGGCUUUGUAUUAUAAUCUUUUUCGCAGAGAUCUUGAUCAUUUUUCCCUUCCACAAGAUAUCACACUGGUCUAUUACGUGAUGACUUUAUACUGAUUGGAUCCAGUGAGUGAGAAGUAGCAAAUGCCCUCAUCUUAUUGGUGAGACAUUUGCCUGCCAAGGGAUGGGAAAUAAAUCCCACUAAAAUUCAGGAAGCUUCUACCUUGGUAAAAUUUCUAGAAGUCCAGUGGUGUGAGGCCUGUCGAGAUAUUCCUUCUAAGGUGAAGGAUAAGUUACUGCACUUGGCCUCUCCUGCGACCAAGAAUGAUGCCUAGUGGGCCUAUCUGGAUUUUGGAGGCAACACAUUCCUCAUUUGGGUGUGCUAUUCUGGCCAUUGAGUGACCCGAAAGGCUGCCAGUUUCAAGUGGGGUCCAGAACAGGAUAAGGCUCUGCAGCAGGUCCAGGCUGCUGUGCAAGCUGCUCGGCCACUUGGGCCAUGUGACCCAGCAGACCCAGUGGUGCCUGAGGUGUCAGGGGCAGGCCCCAUAGGUGAAUCACAAUGGAGGCCUCUAGGAUUUUGGAGCAAGGUCCUGAUAUGUUCUGCAGAUAACUAAUCUUUUGAGAGACAGCUCUUGGCCUCUUACUGGGCUUUGGUAAAAACUGAACAUUUUAUGAUGGGUCAUCAGGUCACCAUGCGACCUGAACUGCCUGCCAUGAACUGGGUGCUUUCUGACUUACCUAGUCAUUAAGUUGGGCAUGCACAGCAGCAUUCCAUCAUCAAAUGGAAGUGAUAUAUAUAUGAUGGGGCUGAGCAGGUCCUGAAGGCACAAGUAAUUUACAUGAAGUGGCUCAAAUGCCCGUGGGUCUCCACUCCUGCCAUCCUGCCGACUCUCCUGCUGCCUGCACUGAUGGCAUCAUGAAGAGUUUCCUAUGAUCAGUUGACAGAGGAAGAGAAGACUAGGGCCUGAUUUACGGAUGGUUCUGCAAGAUACGCGGGCACCGCCCGAAAGUGGACAGCUGCGGCACCGCCCGACAGUGGACAGCUGCGGCACCGCCCGACAGUGGACAGCUGCGGCACCGUCCGAAAGUGGACAGCUGCGGCGCCGCCCGAAAGUGGACAGCUGCGGCGCCGCCCGAAAGUGGACAGCUGCGGCACCACAGCCCCUUUCUAGGACAUCCCUGAAGGACAGCGGUGAAGGGAAAUCUUCCCAGUGGGCAGAACUUCACAUACUAUACCUGGCUGUGUACUUUGCAUGGUAGGAGAAGUGGCCAGAUGUAUGAUUAUGUACUGAUUAACAGACUGUAGCCAGUGGUUUGGCUGGAUGGCCAGGAACUUGGAAGAUGCAUGAUUGGAAAAUGGGUGAUAAAGAAAUCUGGAGAAGAGAUAUAUGGAUGGACCCCUCUGAGUGGUCAAAACUGUGAAGAUAUUUGUAUCCAUGUGAAUCCUCACCAAAGGGUGACCUCAGCAGAGUAGGAGUUUAAUAAUCAAGUAGAUAGGAUGACUCAUUUUGUAGACACCACACAGCCUCUUUCCCAGCCACCCCUGUCAUCGCCCAAUGGACCCAUGAACAACGUGGCCAUGGUGGCAGGGAUUGAGGUUACACAUGGCUUCAGCAAUGUGGACUUCCACUCGCCAAGGCUGACCUGGCUACAGCUACUGCUGAGUGCCCAAUGUGCCAGCAGCAGAGACCAAUGUGGAACUCUGGAUAUGGCACCAUUCCUCAGGGUGAUCAGCCAGCUACUUGAUGGCAGGUUGAAUAUAUUGGACCUCUUCUAUCAUGGAAGGGGAAUGGUUUGUCUUCACAGGAAUAGACACUUAACUCCAGAUAUGGUUUUACCUAUCCUGCAUGCAAUGCUUCUUCCAAAACAACCAUCCGUGGACUGACAGAAUGCCUUAUCCACCAUCAUGGUAUUCCACACAGCAUUGCCUCUGACCCAGGCACUCACUUUACAGCUAAAGUAUGGCAGUGGGUUCGUGCUCAUGGAAUUCACUGGUCUUACCAUGCUCCCCAUCGUCCCAAAGCAGCUGGAUUGAUAGAACGAUGGAAUGACCUUUCAAAGUCACAAUUACGAUGCCAACUAGGUGACAAUACUUUGCAGGGGUCAGGUAAAGUUCUCCAGAAGGCCAUGUAUGCUCUGAAUCAGUAUCCAAUAUAUGUUACUGUUUCCCCCAUAGCCAGGACUCAUGGGUCCAGGAAUUGAGGGGUGGAAGUGGAAGUGGCACCACUCACCAUCACCCCUAGUGACCCACUAGCAAAAAAAAAAACAACAAAAAUUUUUGUUUCCGGUUCCUGCAACAUUGCACUCUACUGGCCUAGAGGUCUUAGUUCCAGAGGGAGGAACGCUGCCACCAGGAGGCACAACAAUGAUUCCACUAAACUGGAAGUUAAGAUUCCCACCUGGACACUUUCAGCUCCUCCUACCUUUAAGUCAACAGGCUAAACAGAGAGUUACACUGUUGGCUGGGGCGACUGACCUAGACUAUGAAGAUGAAAUCAGUCUCCUACUCCACAGUGGAGGUAAGGAAGAGUAAGUGUAAAUACAGGAGAUCCAUGAGGGCAUCUCUUAGUAUUACCAUGCCCUGUGAUGAAGGUCAGUGGGAAACUAUGACAACGCAAUCCAGGCAGGACUGCAAAUGACCCAGACCCUACAGGAAUGAAGGUUUGGGUCACUCCACUAGGUAAAAAAACCCACAACCACUGAAGUGCUUGCUGAAGGCAAAGGGGACACAGUAUGCAUAGUAGAAGGUAGUCGGAAUACUAGCUACAGCCACAUGACUAGUUGCAGAAACAAGGACUGUAAUUGUCAUGAAUAUUCCCUCCUUAUUUGUUAAGAAUAUGUUUGUGCGUGUAUACACUUGUACUAAGAAAAUGUCUUCCUGUUAUUUCCUUGCUUUUUCCUUUAUCACAUGACGUAAGAUUUGUUGACUUCAUAUCACAUUUAAGUGUUGUUAGCUUUAUGUAAUAGCAUUUAGGUUAAGGAUUAACAUGCUUCUGGUUGCACAAAGGAUAGGCAUAUUAUUUUGGGUCUAAUAAUGACUUAUUGUUGUCUUUAUUUGAAGAUUAUGUAUGAUUUCAGCAGAUGUGUAUGGGUUCAAGUUGACAAGGGGUAGACUUGUGUUGGUUAAUACUGAGUGUCAACUUGACUGGAUUGAAGGAUGCGAAGUAUUGUUCCUGGGUGUGUCUCUGAGGUUGUUGACAAAGGAGAUUGACAUUUGAGUCAGUGGACUGGGAGAGGCAGACCCCCCCUCAAUCUGGGAGCGCACCAUCUAAUCGGCUGCCAGUGCGGCUAGGAUAAAGCAGGCAGAAGAAGGUGGAAGGAGCCCACCUGCUGAGUCUUCCGGCCUUCAUCUUUCUCCCGUGAUGGAUGCUUCCUGCCCUCGAACAUUGGACUCCAAGUUUUCAGCUUUUGGACUCUUGGAUUUACCCCAGUGAUUUGCCAGGGGCUCUCUGGCUUCGGCCAAAGGCAAGGCUGCACUGUGGGCUUCCCUACUUUUGAGGUUUUGGAAUUCAGAUUGACUUCGUUGCUCCUAGGCUUGCAGACAGCCUAUUGUGGGGCUUCACCUUGUGAUCAUGAGUCAAUACUCCUUAAUAAACUCCCCUUCAGCUUCUUCUCGGAUAAAACACCAAAUGGCGGGUGACGCCCGUGCAGCGGAGGAGGUGGGGCGGAGAGCGGCCCUUGGAUGGGGAAUCCAAUCCGCUUCCUCAAAGGUUUCGGCAGUGCCGUCUGGGGCCGGGAGGGCCAAGGCCACAGAGCUCACGGAGGCAAGGCCGAGGAUAAGAAGUGGCUGCCUGUCACCAAGCUGGGCCGCCUUGGACAUGAAGAUAAAGUCCCUGGAGGAAAUCUAUCUCUUCUCUCUGCUCAUCAAGGAAUCUGAGAUCAUUGACUUUCUCCCGGGGGCAUCUCUCAGGGACGAGCUUUUGAAGAUUUUGCCGGUGCAGAAGCAGACCCAGGUGGCCAGCGCACCAGGUUCAAGGCAUUUGUUGCCAUUGGGGUCUACAAUGGCCAUGUCUGUCUGGGUGUUAAGUGUGCCAAGGAGGUGGCCACUGCCAUCUGUGGGAACAUCAUCCUGGCCAAGCUCUCCAUUGUCCCCGUGCACAGAGGCUACUGGGGGAACAAGAUCGGCAAGCCCCACACCGUCCUCCCUUGCAAGGUGACAGGCCGCUGUGGCUCUGUUCUAGUGCACCCCAUCCCCGUGCCCAGGGGCACUGGCAUCGUCUCAGCACCUGUGCCCAAGAAGCUGCUCAUGAUGGCUGGUGUCGAUGACUGCUACACCUCAGCCAGGGGCUACACUGCCACCCUGGGCAACUGCACCAAGGCCACCUUUGAUGCCAUCUCUAAGACCUACAGCUACCUGACCCCUGACCUUUGGAAGGAGAUUGUAUUCACAAAGUCUCCCUAUCAGGAAUUCACUGACCACCUCAUCAAGACCCACACCAGAGUCUCUGUGCAGAGGACCCAGACUGCAGCUGUGGCUACAACAUAGGGUUUUUGUUUUUUUUUUUUAAGACGGGGUUUCACCAUGUUGGUCAGGCUGGUCUUGAACUCCCGACCUCAGGUGAUCCGCCCACCUUGGCCUCCAAAGUGCUUGGAUUACAGGCAUGAGCCACAACGCCCGGCCAACACAGGGUUUUUAUACAAGAAAAAUAAAGCGAAUUAACCCUGCAAAAAAUAAAAUAAAGUAAAAUAAACUCCCCUUCAUCGGUACAUCUAUCCUAUUGGUUCUUUUCCUCUAGAGAACCCUGACUAAUAUACUGGGUUAUUUGUCUUCCCGUUAUUAGUUGUGAGAAUUGUUUAUAUAUUCUAGAUACUGAAUAUUUAUAUAUUCAGUCUUUUGUCAUAUUUAUCUAAAGCUUAUUUUCUUUCAAUCUGUGGCUUACAGUUUCAUUUUUAAAACAAUGUCUCUGGAAGAAGAAAUUAAGAUUUUAAUGAAGUGCUAUCUGGCAAUUGU
Molecule: non-coding RNA, 9320 nt
Organism: Callithrix jacchus (white-tufted-ear marmoset)
Lineage: Eukaryota; Metazoa; Chordata; Mammalia; Primates; Cebidae
Source: RefSeq, a predicted model, not a curated record